AGUGAACGCUGGCGGUAGGCCUAACACAUGCAAGUCGAACGGCAGCACAGAGGAGCUUGCUCCUUGGGUGGCGAGUGGCGGACGGGUGAGGAAUACAUCGGAAUCUACUCUGUCGUGGGGGAUAACGUAGGGAAACUUACGCUAAUACCGCAUACGACCUACGGGUGAAAGCAGGGGAUCUUCGGACCUUGCGCGAUUGAAUGAGCCGGUGUCGGAUUAGCUAGUUGGCGGGGUAAAGGCCCACCAAGGCGACGAUCCGUAGCUGGUCUGAGAGGAUGAUCAGCCACAAUGGAACUGCGACACGGUCCAGACGACUACGGGAGGCCGCAGUGGGGGAUAUUGGACAAUGGGCGCAAGCCUGAUCCAGCCAUACCGCGUGGGUGAAGAAGGCCUUCGGGUUGUAAAGCCCUUUUGUUGGGAAAGAAAUCCAUCUGGUUAAUACCCGGGUGGGAUGACGGUACCCAAAGAAUAAGCACCGGCUAACUUCGUGCCAGCAGCCGCCGUAA
This 506-nucleotide ribosomal RNA is filed under the name uncultured bacterium. RNAcentral describes it as "partial 16S ribosomal RNA". It matches the Rfam family "Bacterial small subunit ribosomal RNA", at positions 29 to 523 of the family's 1533-position model. The record is from RNAcentral.